This is a long non-coding RNA of Pseudophryne corroboree (corroboree frog), 216 nucleotides long. RefSeq lists it as uncharacterized. The transcript has 3 exons. NCBI's taxonomy places the organism in Eukaryota, Metazoa, Chordata, Amphibia, Anura, Myobatrachidae. The record is from RefSeq and is a predicted model, not a curated record.
AUACUGAACCCCUCUAUAUUCCUUGUAUCUUUUCAAACACUAAAAUAAGAACAUAUGCAAAGAGUAAAAGAAAACGGAAACGAGGUUCCUACAAACCCACCAGAAAUAAACAGUAUUUGCAGAGAAAUCUUCCUUGGGGUCUGCUCUGCUGUGCAGGAGCAUGGAGGAAACUUGCAGGGAUAUUCAGUCUAUUCAUGAAGCAAUAAAAAGUGUGGA